Molecule: ribosomal RNA, 253 nt
Filed under: uncultured bacterium
Lineage: Bacteria
Description: partial 16S ribosomal RNA
Rfam family: Bacterial small subunit ribosomal RNA
Source: RNAcentral
UACGUAGGGUGCGAGCAUUGUCCGGAAUUAUUGGGCGUAAAGGGCUCGUAGGCGGUCUGUUGCGUCAGGAGUGAAAACUCGGGGCUUAACCCCGAGCCUGCUUCUGAUACGGGCAGACUAGAGGUAUGCAGGGGAGAACGGAAUUCCUGGUGUAGCGGUGAAAUGCGUAGAUAUCGGGAGGAAUACCAGUGGCGAAAGCGGCACCCUGGCAUUAGCCUGACGCUCAUGUGCGAAGGCGUGGGGAGCGAACGGG